AGCAUAACAAGAGCUUCAAUCCCCUUAAGGUGUGUGGAACUGCUGGCUUUUAAAGAGACAGACUCAAUUUCCACCAAGUCCAGGUGGGUUAAUAAUUCUCAUCCACUUAUUGUUGAGACUGAUUGUCAAGCUGCUGUCAGCUGGGUAACUAAAAGACUCCUGUCAAAGCUCCAUGGAAUUAUUAAGCUGAUCGAUCGUAAGUGGUUGAUAGCUGUAUCGAAGAGUUGUUGGAAAGAUUUUAGGUUCAACGAUGAAAUUGAUUUGAUUGGAAAUCAGUUAGUAUGAAUGGUUUGGAAUCAGUAAAAACCAAAAAUUGAGGUAAGAAUUGAUGAUUGUAUCGAUUUAUAAUUUAUAAUUAUUUAUUUAAUUAUUGUUAAAUUGAUAUCAUUGAAUUAAUUGGAUUGAGAAUUGAUAGUCUGACCGGUUUAAUUAUCAAUUCGAUUUUUAAACCAUUAUUAUUUUUGUUGAAAUCAAGGUAUUUACUGUCAAAAGUAGUGAUUAAUUCUCUCGUCGUGAAUGUUUUUCAAAAAAUAAAUAGUUGACUACAAAAUGUACUCCAUUCUCAUCGAUGGAGAUCGAAACCUGACCACAUAAAAUGGAUUGUUUUUUAAAAACAUUGUCUCUAGGUAGCCUUCAAUGAUUGUGCUGAUAGGAUAGCAAAAUCAGCUCUAACUAGGAAGGAAAAACAGUGGUAUAUUGCAUCACCUGUAGUUGCUAAUGAUUUUGUAACUCGUGUUUAUUUGAAGCUAGUUUAUUAUUGUUUUUGUAAAGUGUUGUGAAAGUGCAUUUGAAAAGUUUGAUUUAAUAUCUAAAUUGUUAAUAGUGUUAUUAAAAAGUGCUUUAAAAAAGAUGAAAUGUUUAUUUUAGAUAUUAUGUUAUAAAGUAAAAUAAAAAUAUACAUUUAAAUUACAGUCAACCUUCUUUAUAAUAAUCUCAUUUGUCUACCAAUGUAACAUCCCAAAAAUCGGGUUAGAAGAAAUUGAGUUUGAGACCAAGAGUGGAAAUCUCUCGAUUUUGAGUUUAGAUUUUGGAAAGUUUUAAUAAGUAAGUUGAUUUGGUUUAGUGGUUAAGUGUUUUGGUUUUGUAUGUGAGGUAUUGGGUUUGAAUAUUAUCUUUUGAAAUUUUGCUACUUUUGACUAAAUCUUUAUAUUUGGACAUGUGGGUUAUAUGUUAGAUUCAGUCCAUUUAUGACAAAAAUAAGUUUAUUGGUUUAAUGGUUAAGCUUUUGUGUAUUUUUUGAUCGUGUUCGAAUCUUUCCCUGUGAAAGUAAUAGGGAAUGUUUUAUUUUUGAAUUUCUUUGUGAGGUAGUUAGUUUCAGUUGAUUAAAUUAAACUUCCCAGAAACCUUCUACAUUUGUGGCAUUAUUGUGUUUUUCUUUUUAUUUUCCAUUUUCUGUUUCUACCAUUCUUCCGUUAUUUUUUUAUUUUUCUUCGUUUUGAUUCUUCUCUUCAAACUACCUUCCUUUUUGUUCUGUUAUGCCAAAUUGAUUCUGUACGGGGUCGGACUUCUCCUUUUUGGUUCAAUUCAUUACCGGUAAGUUUGAUUUAAAGUUUGUGUCUGAAGUUCUUCAACGUAACUUCAAUCUCGGAUGUUAAUCUUAGUAUUUUGAGUGCGAAUAUGUUGUCUGAUUGUCGUUGUAAUGUCGUUUUAGGGACGUGAAUUCACCCUUGUUACUUUUGCAUCGAAUCUGUAUCAGGUGGGUAUCGAUAACCCAAUUUUUGUUUCGAGUUUAAUCGUUGGAAAACUAAUUGUCGACGUUACACGACCGUAUGUUAGACCAUGUAAACAAUCUAUAUCUUUAUAAUGUUUAAAGGAUUAAAUUAAAUUUUUAUUAUUUUUAAUGAUGUCAAAGUAAAAUUUUAUUUUUACUAAUUUAAAAUUUUAAAAUAUUUAAAAGAAUUCAAUGAAAAAUUUUCAUUUAGGGGUACGCCUUGCCAGUCCCCUGACUAGGCACCUGUAUAAAGAUUUAAUAAAAUAUGUCUAUAUAUAUAUACGGGGGAAAAGUAUGUUUUUCUCUUUCUCGAUUAGUUUGGAGCUUCUAGGACCCCCAUUGCUUUUGGAGCUUGAGAGGGCUGCUAAAAUAGUUUUGAAAGGCUGCGAAAUGGGGAGGACUUGGAAAUGGAGGAUGCUGGUGGAAAGAAGUUGCCUUUUAAGGAUACACUUUCGGCUAAUCCUAAGCAAGUGGGAGAGGUGGAGUCAUGGAAUGAGGAUUUAGAAAUUGAAGUGCGUGAUGAGGAUGGAGCAAUCAAUUAUUGUCCACUUACUUGGAAGUCUAUUGGGUUUAGAGCACUCGCAUGUAGGAUACAAGCCCUUCGAAAACUAGAAGGAAAUUUACAAAUUGUUAAUCUUGAUAAUGAAUAUUACUUAGUGAAGCUUUCUCCCAAAGAAAGAUUAUGAUAAGGGUCUUACCAAUAUUGGACCUUAGGCAGCUUAUAGGAGUUAUUUUGGUGGUGCAACCAUAGAGCAUAUCAUUUUCGAUGAAAGAUCUUCACCUGUCGCAUAUUGUGGUAUGGGUAACACUACCGGGGUUGCCUUACAUGUAUUACAAUAAGGAUUUGUUCAGAGCAAUUGCUGGGGCGAUUGGUCAGGCUGUCAAGAUUGAUUACAAUACUAUAGUAGGCAGGAGGCGAAAGUUUGUGACGUUAGCAGUAGUGGUAGAUUUGAGAAAACCAUUGAUUUCUUGUAUUGGAAUUGACAACUUCCUUCAAAGGGUUGAGUAUGAUGGACUAUUGUUUAUUUGCUAUGAGUGUGGGUGUUAAGGACACACCAAAGAAACUUGCGGUGUGCGACAGCCUAAGUAAAUGAAGUGCAUGAGCAGAACCAAACUGAAUUAGUUAUCAGGUUUGAUCAUCUUAAGAAGAAGGAUUAUGUUGGCAAGCUGUUUAGACCAUGGAUGUAGGUCCAAAGUCACCAGAGAAAGGCGGUGAUUGGGAAUGGAGAGGCCAAGGCUCACAGGGAAAUUAGGAAAGAUAAGGCAACUACUAGAAUUUUGAGAUUUAAAAUCUUAGAGGGUUAUGAUGAUGAGGUGGAUAUUAAGGAGGUAGAACAUAGUAAUAAGGAUUACUCCAAAAAUAUAGGAGGGAUUUUGGAGCAGGUCCCUAGUAAUGCAAAAUUUAAGGGAGCAAUUAUUAGAGGUAAGGAUAAGGGCAAACAAAAGGAAAACCAAUGGUUUAGAUAAUGAAAAGACUGAUAUGGGCAAUGAGGAGAGUUGGCUUGACAUGUCUAGAAACAAAGGCUAAAUUGUGGAAACAUAUAAGGCCAGUAUGUGAGUUUAGUGGGCUUAGAGUGAAACCUUUAGGUGAUGGAAUAUUGGAUCAAUUAUUGGUGGACCAAAAGAAACAAUUGUAAGGAAAGAAAUUGGGCUCGAUAGUACAAACAUUCGGUUGUUUUGGUCGUGGAACAAGAUGGGUGAUUUGCAUGGCCAACCUAUAGCAUGCAAAAGUUAGUGGUAACAAUGGUUUAGCUUUGAGUAACCAUAAUAAAAGAGUUAUGGGAUAUCCUUUCUGAAUGGGGUAAGAAAUUAUCCCAACGGUUGGAUAUAGAGCUUGACGGGAAAACGAUGGGGGUGGUGAAUCCAAUUCCGAAGUCUGCCAAUAUUGCCAAUAUUGACAAGGGUGACAAUAUAUAGCAUGACCUUGGGGUAAAGAAACAAAAAACAACGCAAGACUCCGGUGUUGUAUUUAUGGUCGAUUUUGUUGUAGUAACUUGCAUUGCUUACUAGAUAAUAUAUUGAAUCGUGAAAUUGUAAUUAAUCGAAUAAUUAGCAAAACGACAUUGAAUAUGGCAUUUGGAUAUGAUAAAUGAGAUUGUGAGUGAAUAUAAAACAUAGAUCUUAUAAGUGAAUUAAUUGCCUAUUGAAUUGAUAUUAUCUUUAUGUGCUUUAUGGAGUUACCACUUAGGAUUGAUAAUGCUCAAUGUACCAUUGUUGUUUUCUUUACGUGCGCAGGUUAGUCAAAUUAAGGAAGAGUAGCAUCAAAUACUCAGUCACAACUACCUCAAUUUGAACAAUCUGCUAAUGUGUUGAGUUCAAAAAUGGUAGUUUUUGGCAUGUACAUAAUAGGGGUCAUUAUAAGAAUCAAAUUAUCGUUUUGUUUUGGUCGUGUUAUGACUUGUAUAUAGGUAUAUCUAUUCUUCGCUUGAAAAUGAUGUUAAAUGCUUGAAUGGCUUUAUUUGGCUCUUUGUUAGCAUGAAAAUAUGAUUGAGGAGAUAGUAGCAUGGAAUACUAUAAUAAAUUGAGUUUAGUGAUCCUUCAGAUGAUCAUUUAGGCUUUAGAACUAUUGUCAUAUUGGUUAGAGUGUUACGUAAGGUAUUAUAUAUAGGUCUUAGUGAAAGAAAAUAAACCUCUUAUUAGGCUUAUCUGGGCCACGCAACACUUAAGUUUUGGUAAUUGAGGCAAGGGUACUGUAACAGCUUGAUUUUUUAGUAGUGUCAGAAACAGUAGUUUGAGGCCACCAAAUUCGGCAGGUAAGUUCGUAAAUAUUAUUAUUUAAUAUUUACGAGUUAAAUAUGGUUUUAAAAAAGUUUUUGAAUUAGUAAUUUGUGUUUUAUAAUGAUUAUUAGGUUAAGUGGUUUUAGAAAGUGAGGUAUCGGGACCUCGUUUCUAUAAACCGAACUGUAAAUAUUUUUAUAAAUAUUUACAGAGUGCCAUUAAGAUGGUUUUAAAGUUUUGUUGAAAAAUUUUAAUGUUUGGAUAGUCAAUUAAUGAAAAAGGACUAAAUUGAAAAAGUGUAAAACUUGUUAAAUAUAAUAAUUAGGUGAUUAAAUGGCUUAAUUAAUAAAUAAAGAAGGACCUAAGUAAUAAUUGUACCUAAAUUUAAUGGAUGAGGCGGCAUAAGAGAAAAAAAAUAAUAAAAUAGAGGCAC
This 4862-nucleotide long non-coding RNA is filed under the name Gossypium raimondii (Peruvian cotton). RNAcentral's name for it is "long non-coding RNA (GRAI_LNC008733)". The record is from RNAcentral. Lineage: Eukaryota; Viridiplantae; Streptophyta; Magnoliopsida; Malvales; Malvaceae.